Molecule: ribosomal RNA, 1272 nt
Filed under: uncultured marine bacterium
Lineage: Bacteria
Description: bacterial SSU rRNA
Rfam family: Bacterial small subunit ribosomal RNA
Source: RNAcentral
AGGAUGAACGCUGGCGGUAUGCUUAACACAUGCAAGUCGAACGAAAGCUUUAUGCUUUAGUGGCGAACGGGUGCGUAAUACGUGAGAAUCUGCCCUUAGGAGGAGAAUAACUUCUGGAAACGGUUGCUAAGUCUCCAUAUGCCGAGAGGUGAAAUAGUUUACACUGCCUAGGGAUGAGCUCACGCCUGAUUAGCUUGUUGGUAAGGUAAUGGCUUACCAAGGCCACGAUCAGUAGCUGGUUUGAGAGAACGAUCAGCCACACUGGGACUGAGACACGGCCCAGACUCCUCCGGGAGGCAGCAGUGAGGAAUUUUCCGCAAUGGGCGAAAGCCUGACGGAGCAAUACCGCGUGAGGGAUGAAGGAUUUUGGUCUGUAAACCUCUUUUCUCAAGAAAGAAGUUCUGACGGUACUUGAGGAAUAAACAUCGGCUAACUCCGUGCCAGCAGCCGCGGUAAUACGGGGGAUGCAAGCGUUAUCCGGAUUUAUUGGGCGUAAAGCGCCUGUAGGUUGUUUAAUAAGUCUGUUGUUAAAGACUAGGGCUUAACCCUAGGAAAGCAAUGGAAACUACUAGACUUGAGUAUGAUAGGGGUAGAGGGAAUUUCUAGUGUAGCGGUGAAAUGCGUAGAUAUUAGAAAGAACACCGGUGGCGAAGGCGCUCUACUGGAUCAUUACUGACACUCAGAGGCGAAAGCUAGGGUAGCAAAAGGGAUUAGAUACCCCUGUAGUCCUAGCCGUAAACGAUGGAUACUACAUGUUGCGUUUUUAAUGCAGUAUGGUAGCUAACGCGUUAAGUAUCCCGCCUGGGGAGUACGCUCGCAAGGGUGAAACUCAAAGGAAUUGACGGGGGCCCGCACAAGCGGUGGAGCAUGUGGUUUAAUUCGAUGCAACGCGAAGAACCUUACCAAGGCUUGACAUACUACGAAUUUCUUUGAAAGAGGAAGGUGCCUUCGGGAACGUAGAUACAGGUGGUGCAUGGCUGUCGUCAGCUCGUGUCGUGAGAUGUUGGGUUAAGUCCCGCAACGAGCGCAACCCUUAUUUUUAGUUGCUAAUUUUAAUUAGGUUUUCUAGAGAGACUGCCGGUGACAAACCGGAGGAAGGUGAGGAUGACGUCAAGUCAGCAUGCCCCUUAUGCCUUGGGCUACACACGUGCUACAAUGGUUAAGACAAAGAGUUGCGAGCUUGCGAAAGUCAGCUAAUCUCAUAAACUUAGCCUAAGUUCGGAUUGUAGGCUGCAACUCGCCUGCAUGAAGUCGGAAUCGCUAGUAAUCGCU